CAAUAGCGUAUAUUAAAGUUGUUGCGGUUAAAAAGCUCGUAGUUGGAUUUCUGCUGAGAACGACCGGUCCGCCCUCUGGGUGUGUAUCUGGCUCUUUCUUGGCAUCUUCUUGGUGAACGUUGCUGCACUUGACUGUGUGGAGCGCUACCCAGGACUUUUACUUUGAGGAAAUUAGAGUGUUUCAAGCAGGCAUACGCCUUGAAUACAUUAGCAUGGAAUAAUAAGAUAGGACCUCGGUUCUAUUUUGUUGGUUUCUAGAGCUGAGGUAAUGAUUAAUAGGGAUAGUUGGGGGCAUUCGUAUUUAACUGUCAGAGGUGAAAUUCUUGGAUUUGUUAAAGACGGACUUCUGCGAAAGCAUUUGCCAAGGAUGUUUUCAUUAA
RNAcentral lists this ribosomal RNA (380 nucleotides) under uncultured eukaryote. RNAcentral describes it as "partial 18S ribosomal RNA". It matches the Rfam family "Eukaryotic small subunit ribosomal RNA", at positions 592 to 976 of the family's 1831-position model. The record is from RNAcentral.